CACGUCGUACACCUUGAACCUCGGCGAGCUUCCCACCGCAACGCAGUUCACUCCGGCGUCUUUGAACUGGAAUAUUAUUGGGUUGCUCUCCCAAUCAUCGUUGCGUUUGUUGAUGACUUUCGCGUCGUGCGUUACUAUCGCUUUUUGAAUCAUCGCCGCGGCGAACUCCGGCGGGUUUGCGUAGAGGAGUCCGGCGGCGGUGACGGUGAAAAUGGCUUGAAUCAGGUUGCCGAAGUAGGACUCCGGCAUGGGAGGGUCGACCCUCUUGCGGCAGUCGGCGAAGACGGUGUAGACAGUGACGUCCUCGGGUUUGAGUUGGCGAGCGCGUGUCACCGCCAGCCACACGUGCGUGGAGAGCGAUUGGAAGGUGGAGAAGGGUUUGGAGCCGUCGGAUGGGGUUUUGUUGAGCGUGGACUUGAUCUGGUUGAUUUGAGAUUCCGAGAAUCGGAAGAUACGCUCACGGAGAAGCGGCGGUGGCCCCGCCGUGCCGUUCGGAGGGGCGGCUGCGGGGUUGAGAGGGAGGUCGAGCUUCACGCGCGUUUUGCGCGCUUUGGUGCGCUCGAGGAACGGUGGGACGGAGACGGAGUCGGCUCCGUUGCAGAUCUCGGCCCACGAGGUCAUGAAGUGCCACGUGGAGGUACCGUCGAGGAUCGCGUGGUUGAAAGCGCAUCCCAGUGCGAGUCCAUCUCUUAGCUUGGUGAACUGCGGAUCAUGACAGAAAAAUAAUUAGUUGGCUCACGGUAACAGACUCAAAAUUGGAGCCACGUGGAGGUUCAAGGGACGGUAACAGUGAGUAAUUGUCAUAAAUGCAUCUGUGGAUGCUUGCAUACUCGCGAAAGUAGUCUGUAGCUUCGGACUCGCUCUAGUAGACUGAAACCUGGAUUCUCCGUUUUCCAAUGCAAAAUGAAUGGCAGCUGGCACAUCUAAGUGUUUGAAACUUUUAUCUAGAGCAGUGCGUACGGGUAUUACCUAGAGCUGAACCUGCCUUUAUGACACUACCGUGGGCGCGAUACACCCAACCAUGCCUCCACCUUCAAAGCCUCAAAUUUUUACUUAUUUAUUUAUUUGUUUUAAAUUCAUUUAUUACCCAUUCUAUCAUAAUUAGAAAGAUAAAAAGAUAAUAAAAUAAAAUUAAAUUAAAAUGGGCUUUUAGGCCCACAACAAAGGCCCAAAAAAUUUCAUAAAUCAAAAAUACCCAUACCAUCAAUUUCUCAAAAAAGCAUAAGAAUAAAAUUAGGCAUGCCGUCCUUGUAUUAAUUGAAGUAGUUGAAUAACCUAGGAGGCUAGGACACGAAAUUUUCUUCUAGUCCAUGCUUUUCAACUAUUAGGAGAUCAUUCUUUUUGUACUAAAGAGGCAUAUAUGACUACUUUGAAUACAACAUUACGAGUAUGAAGUUUGGUAAGUGACAUGCCCCUACAAAGAUCCCAAAAAGGGAGAGUUCAUAAUAAAUAUUAAGAAUUUUAAAAUAAAAAUAAAAUAUUAUGUUCUUAAAUAUGCACAAAAUUAAACAAUUCCCAGCUUUAUCUUAACUAAUUUAUACCAUAUUAUAUAAAUAUUAUGCCAAAGGAUACGAUCUCUCCAUUCUCUGAUCAAAAACGUUUUCUAAAAUCAUUAUCAAACGUCAUUUUAAUCGAUAAUGUGAUAGAUAAUUUCUCGACUAUUAAUGAUAUAUUUGAUUUGGGAAAAAAAGAAAAAAAAAUACAAGGAAUAAUGUAAGUUUAUAUUUAGGAGAAAGAAGAAGAAGAAAUAAAUGUCCCUCUCCACAAAUGGAUCUACAUUUUGAUAUGAGACCUUGGUUUUAAGGUGGUGAAGUACAAUAAAUUCAUGGACAAUCAGCUUGGUAGGUGGGUAAAAUAAUGGGGAGAUGAUUACCUUCUUCUUAUCAUUUCUGUUUGGUUGGUGGGAUUUAGGAAACAUGACAAAAGAGAAAAUAAGUUAGAGCUGAUGCUAAUUUUUUUCAUUAAAUUUUCUCAUCAUACAAAGAGAGCAGAAAAUGAAAUUAAAUAAAUGAAUUUCAUUUGUAAUUUCCCAAAAAUUUUGUAUAUUAAUGUUUUAGUAAAUAAAAAUUUAAAUGACUUGAAGGCAAUGAAACAGUUCUGACAAUAAUACAUUGUCCUUCCCUAAAUAAACCCAACAAAUUUAAGGGCACCCCUAUAAUUUUAGGCCUGAUUUGGACCAAAAAGAGAAGAAAAAUAAAGAAAAAUUCAAUGCAAUAGAAUAGAAAAUAAAUAAAUUGUUACCUGUAGGACCAGGAGGGGUUUAUGAAGACCCUCAAAGUUCAAGACUUGGGUGUAUGGCACCAUAUCCUUCAUCAUGCUUGUGCACUCCACAUCUGUUAGAUCAGAGACACUGAUCUGAUCAGCACUUGCUUCCAACACUUCCACACCCUCCAUUUCAUCAUCAUACACAACCUUAAAGACCCCAUCUUCGUCCUUCUCAAGCUUCCCAGCCAACUGAUAAAACUCUUCCAAAACUACCCCUAACCCAUCCUUCAAUCUACCCACCAUGUCCUCAAAGUCAGACCCCUUGUAGAAUAGCAGCUUUUGGUUAUAGUAAAAGGCCAAAUAUGGGAGAUCAAAUGUGAUCAACUGACACUCUCUUCUCCCAAGCUUCUUAGUGGGCAUAAUGUGGGACUUUCCAUGGACAGACACCUUCACAACCUCAUCUUCCUCCUUCUUCACAACUUGAUCAGCUGCCAUGGUUGAUGAGAUGAAGAACCCUAAAAGCAAAGGAGAGAGAGUAGAGGUUUGGGGAGUGAAGAGAGAGGGAUUAAGGGAUAUACUUAUAGGGGAGUUUUCAUUUGAUAUGGUUGGAAGGUGCAUUUAUGGAAUGCAUGAGAGCAGUUGUAGGCCAUUUAAUGGCUCUUUUUUCUCCUCUGUUAGUCUGGGUGGAAGUUGAGUAAAGACGCUAUGGAAUGGCUGAGCACAGCUCCACUUUCUCUCUCUCAGAGCCUUUAAUGUAAUUUCACUAUCUUCUUUUUGAAAAGAAACAAAAUCUCAAUUAAGGCACCCUGGGCCAGUGGCUUUGACAAUCGUUACAAAGAAACAAGUUUUUGGGGGCACUUUCUAGCUAUAAAACUUUUUAGUAGACAAUAUUCUGCCCAAGAGAAAACCCAAAUCAUUCUUGAAUUUCAAGGCUCAAUUUGACCUAACCAUAACUCCCUGCAUUUAAAAGAUUGAUACGUGGUGGGAAAUACCCGUAAUAUCAUUUAUAAUGAUCUGUUUUCUAAAGCAUAGGUAUUAUCGACUUAAGAUAUAAGUUCAUACAUGUUGUUUUUAUGUAAAAUUUCUAAUAUGACUCGUAAGGAACUUUUUUUUUUGUUUUUAUAUUACCUUUUAAAAGUUAUGAUUUUGUCUUUAACUUCAACUUCUAAUAGUCAAAACUACGAAACUAACCAAACCAGAACUUAGAAAAAUAUCGAAAAUUUCUUUUCUUAAUAGACAUGAAAUCUUGUACCAAGGUUUCUAAAUUACCUUUAUGCCCCAAGUUUUUCCACAAUAAUUAGUCCUAGUCUCUUAGAAGAAGAAAUUUGAUUUUGAUAGGACUAUGUAUGCUUUUUCAAAAUUGGGGUUGAGUGAACCAUUGACAGGAACCUCAUGGACAUAGAAAAAGUUCCCAAAUGUGACCUUCAUCAAUCCAUUGCCAAAUGCAGACCUAAAAUUGAUGAACCCAUGAGGUUGUAAAAUUAAUAAGUUGUGAAAAGUGGUUGACAGUGUACACUUUCUUUGUUAAGAAUUUUUCAUUUUGGGAGUAGGGAAAACACAUGGAGAGAAGUAUUGAGUUGCAUGGGUAAAAGGGCCAUCCCCAACUUCAUUUGCAGCUAAUUUUCAUGGGCUUGAACCAAUUAAAAUUACUCAUCUUUAUGGUCAUGGGGGGCUGAGGGGUUGUUGAGGUUUAAAUGUGUCCCUUCCGACUCCUUCUCUGAAUGACUCAGUAUGCAACUUAGUGUGAACUACUUUAGAAUUCAUUUCUUGUCUUGGAAGAGGCUGUCAUGUGUGAUUCAUUUAUGCCACUUUGGAUCCUGUUUUAUUGGUUUUUAAAAGCUAGAAUGCUUUCAUUUCUUUUAAGAGAUUUUAUUUUGUGGGCAUUUGGGAUGGUUGUUAAUUUUUUUGGUCUGCAUUUGUAGUAGUAUGAUAAUCAAAAGUUAGAUAGUGUUUUUAUAUGUAUUAUGCUUGAGCGAUAAUGUCAAGUUACAUGAUCGGUAUAGUGAAAUUUAGACUAUUAUAUAAAGAUACAAACAAAUGAGAUUAGAGAGAGUGCACAUAUGACACUGUCUGAUUGAUGGUGUUUUCUCCAUAUUGUAUUGAAAAAACAAAAAUACGUUUUUUUUUUCGUAUCCGGCUUUAAAAAAGCAAAAAACAUGAACAUCUCUUAUUUUUCAAAAUAAAAUAAACCACAUAAAGAAGUAAGAAAAAAAAAAAAACCUAUCAUGAGAAGAUUUUACCCGUCUUAUUUAUUUAUUUUUUUAAGGUGUGUUACUUAAAACAUAGUUUUAAAAGGAUGAUCGUAAAAAUAUGAGUAGCAUUUUGAUAUUAUUAAUUUAAAAUAAAAAUUUUGGUUUAACUUCAAAUUUGACAUUAGGGUCAUUAAAAUAGAGGUAAAAUGUAGAUGUGAAAUUAAAAAUAUUUAUUUGAUAUUCCUAAUUAAUGAAAAUAGCAUUAUUUUCAAUUAAUGGUUCAUAUGAAAGGGUUCACUUCAAGGGACCUCCCACAUCUACCCCAUCAAUGCUAUUUAACAUUAAGAAGAUGGUGCCCUCUCUUUGGGUGGAUGGGUCAUGCACUCUAUAGGUAAUGGAAAAUGACUUGUUAUUCAUUGACAAUUUGACAUACAAGGCUACACCUACAUCUUGGAAUUUCAAUUUCUUCUUCAUUUCUUAUAAUGGAAUUUGAAUAUCAAAAUUUAUGGUGCAAAAAACAAUAAACAAAAUUGAAUUUGGGUCCUUAAAAUAAUAAAUAACUAAAUAAAUAGCUUUCUUGAUUGAGAAUUGACAUGUCAUGUGGGAUUUUUUUGGCCCUAUUGCUUCUUGCCAUUACUACAUGACUUUAGACUAUAGUUGCUUUUUGAAAAUAAAUUUAAAAAGGGGAUAUUAAUUAUGUAAUUUUUUUUCUCUUUGGUUAAAGAUGAAGGGUCUAUUUGGUAAUUAUUUUGAAAAAAUAGUUUUUGAGAACAAUUUUUGAAAACUAUUAUUUAAUUUUUGUAAAACAAAAGUUUGUUUAAAAACUUAAAUUUUUUUUAACUUAUUUAAUAUUUUAAAAUAUGUUUUAAAAAGAAAUUUUAUAUCUAAUUCUAUAUAUUUGUAAAAUUAUUUCUUAAAACAACCCUCAAAAAACAAGUAAAAAUAAUAUAAAACAAUUAAGAGAUGUUCUCUGAAAACAUUUUGUUUUCUAUUCUAAAGAUUACCAAACGUGUUUUCUCUAUUUUUUGUUUUGAAAAAUAGAAAAUUAUUCUAAUAAAUAUUUCUCAAACAAGUUCGAAAAUUCUCAAUUUUUUUUUAUAAAAAAAUCAUAAUGUCAUAAUAAUCACAUUGACAUUUAGUGGUAUGUUUUCAAGAAAUGGUUUUUAAAAAUCAAAUUUAGUAAUAUUUUGGGGUGUAAAGUAUUUAUUGCUUGUAGUUAAUGAACCAAUAAAUCACAAAAUAUAUGAUAUUGUUUGUUAAAAUUCUCAAAUUUAAUAUAGCUUUUUAAUUCAGUUUAUUUAUAUACUCUAUCAAACUGAUGAUCAUUUGUAUGCAUUUUCACUUUCUAUUUUUAAAUAGAAAACAUAAUGAUAACAUUUUUUUUUCUAACAUUAAUUUAUGCUUCAAAAAAGGCAUUAUUAUCAAGUUUUGUGUAGUGGGAUAAGGGAUAUUGUUGAGUAUUUAAACCAAAAAUAAGCACCAAAAAAAAAAAUCAAAUCUUUUUUGUUAAAAAAAUUAAAUUUUAUUUUUUAAAAUAAAAAUAUAAGGCCCGUUUAGCCAUGUUUUCUAAAAUUAUUUUUAAGUUAAUAACAAAAAACUGUUUUUAAAAAUAAGUUUUAAAAAAAAGGUCAAAUGGGCCAAUAUUUUCCUUUUGGUUUUUAAAAAGGGUGAAAAAUUUUCCUACUUACUCUCUAAAAAUUAUUAUCUAUUUCAUUUUAUUUUUAAAAUUUAUUUCCAAAAAAUAAUAACCAAUCAAUGUUAGAAAUUUUUAAAAACAACUUAAUAUUUUUUAAAACAAAAAAUUGUUUUUAAGUCACACCAUCAAAUCAGGCUCAUAGACUCAUGAAAAUUGUUGUUUGAAGUUUUGUAAAAAUAAAUAAAUAAAUAAAAGUUUGGAACUUGAAAUGUUUUUGUCUUAUUUUUUAUAUUUUUAAAUAUUUUUUUUUAAAAAAAUUAACUUUUAUAAACAAGUCAAAAACUACUAAAAAUGUUAUAAUAAACACCCUGUCUCCGAUUUUUUCUUUUCCUAAUUACCAAAUAUGUUUUCUUUUAUCUUUUUAUUCUCAGCAUCUAAUAAACCAACAUAGUGUUGAUAUUCUUUUGUCAAUAUUUUUUUUUUCCUAUUUUUUGUUAUGUUAUUGGUAACCGACUAUUUAUUAAGCACAUGGCUCCACUUGAAAUGACCUUAUUUGAAAAUUACACAUUAAUUAAUGGUAUCCAAACCUACUAAGAUUUUGACUUGCCAACAACUCAUUAACCAAAAACUCAAACUAUUUUCUAUGUACGUACUUUCUUUCAUGGAAUCCUUUUUCCUCGUUGCCCAUGGAUAGCAACCACUAUAUAUUGAAAAGGGAACGUCAGCUCAAUAUUGAUAGCAAUAGAUCACCAUGGAAAUUGCCUACCACUCUUCUAUUUCUCACAACCUUGUUUCUUCCAAAAUAAAACAAAAAAAAAAAAUGAUAAUUGCUUUCUAAUCUAUGAAAAAAAUUUGGAAUACUAAGGUAAUUUUUAAGUCUUGAAUCAUUUUACGGUAAUAUUUUAAUGAUUCUUUUUCUUGUUUAUAUAUAUUUUAUCUCAUAAAUUACUCGAAGUUUGGUUUUCGAGAUUGUUAAUAUGAACAAGGGAAAAAUAGGUUUUGAUUCACUAAUUUGAAAAAAUAUAGAAAAAUGAAUCUCGACUUUUAUAAAUUAGUUUUAUCUUCAUCCAUUUAAAAAUAUUUUAAAAUAUAUGCACUUUUCAUAAGUCAGACAAUUAUUUCCUAAAAUACCCUUUUACUUGAUAAUGUUAAAUAAAAUUAUCAAAAAAAUAUCAUUUUAAUUUGAUAAAAAUAUCUUAUAAAUAAAAGUAUAUGACAAUAAGUUUUAGUUGAAACAUACGUAUUUAUUUCAAACAUGUAUUUUCCUACUAAAAUCUUUACAAUGCGAACAAAUAUAGGUCAUAAGUCUAAAUAGAGAGGAUGCCCAAAACGUUCUCGUGUUAUGCUUGUACAUUUAAAUGUUUAUGAGAUUAUGAAAUAAUAAAAUUAGUAAUAAAAGUUUAGCUAACCUAUGGUUAUUUGAAGAUUGUAACCAAUUUUUUUAUAUGAAGUAGGUAAGUGAUGAGAGGUGGGUUUAAGCAAUAAAUGAAAAAAUUCAAUUACCUGAUAAAAACAAUACAUGUGAGCCAACUACUCGACAAGUUGAAAAGAAACAAUCUAUUAGUAUUAAAUGAGUUUAUAAGAUGAAGUACAAACUCGAUGGUAAAGAUAAUCAAUUUUAGACUAGAUUGAUGGCAAAAGGCCACAAAUAGUAGGUAUCUAUAAUUUUUAAGUUCUUAUACUAGUUGCCAAACUAAACAUCAUUAGCAUAAAAAAUUGAACUUGUAAUUAAGAAAAAGUGAAAACUUCACUAAAUGAAUGUUAAAUGAAGAAAAGUUUUUAUUAAACAAAAUAAGCAAGUUUACAAACUAGAAAAUGUAUUAUUUUAGUUAAAGUAAAUGUCACAUACUUGGUAUAGGCGGAAUGAGAUAUUUAUUUAUUGUAGCAAAGUUUUCGAAAGUGUUCUUCUAAUCAUACACUCUGCACAAAAGUUAAAUUCUUAUAGUGAUAUAAUUGUUAUAUACCUAUAUAACAUUAUUUGAUUUUUAUAGGAAAUCGUCAAGAGAUGAUUGAAGAUUUCAAAGGGAUGUUUGAAGAUUUCAAGGAGAUAACGAUCCAAUAAUUUAAGAUAAUAAAUUUGGUACUAAUGUCCUAUUUUCUUAAAAAUCGAGGCCCAAUAGGAUAAUGAUAUCUUUAUCUUACAGAACAAGUGUAUCAUACACAUUUUAGAAUGAUUUAUGAUCAUUAGUAAUAACUUGCACUCCUACUACAAACUGAUUAAAAAUAAAAAAUAACAAAAUAAAGGACAAAAUAAUUAAUAAAUUUCACAUAUUUCAAAAUCGUAGUAGGAACUCUUUACUAUUUUAUUUCUACUGGAUCGAAUAUGCUUUAAGAGUAGAAAUUACUAGUAGAUUAAUGAAAAGAAAUAUAUGUUACAUUUGUGAGCAGUAAGUUUAGCAAUGACACUUGUGAUCAUGAAAUUUUAUACUCCUAUUUGAGCAACUUCAUUUUGGUGUGCGACAAGGUUAAUAAUUAGAGCAACUUUGAAAUAUGUCGAGCAAUUUAGCUUUAUAGGAUACUUAGUAAGUUGAAAUAUCGACAAAAAGAUCCUAUAAAGAUUUUGUAUGAUAAUAAAUUUAUUAUUGCAUUGCCAAAAAAUUUGUUGUUUUAUGAUAAAGGCUAACACAUAUGCAUCAAGUUUGAUUACAUUAAAAAACUUGUGAAAUCAAGCUCGAGUUUUGUGGAACAAAUUACAGAUAUUUUUAUAAAACUACCAAUAUAGAACAUAUUUGAAAAAUUAAAGAUGACAUAAGAUGUAAUUAGCUUUAAAGUUCGGGUUAAGGAAAGUUAUUGAAAAAUUUUAAGAAUUAUUAUUUAUUUAGGUUUUUAAUAAUUCAUAUAUAAUCAAUUUAUUAUAUAUAUAUAUAUAUAUUGAAAUAAAUUGUGAAAUCCAAUAUAAAAAUUGGUGACAUUAUUUUUAAUAAUAAAAAUGAAAAAUAAAAUAAAUUAUUUUGAUGAGCAAGUGGGUGGACCCUGGUCCAUAAUCUCCUUCACCACAAGGGUUCUCCCUCUAUUAAUGGUCAUGAAACAUAAGUAUAAAUGCUCUUCUAGCUCAUCUAGCUGCUGGCUAAAGUUAGAGUCAUUCUCCUUCAGCUGGCGCGCCACUUCUCCACUGGCUUGCAGGUUAUCCUCUUUAUGCUCCAACCAAAACCUAACCAUUCCACUUAUAUGCUCCAGCUCAUUGUUUAGCCUGGCCACAAGCCGGCUUAUCAUGUCCAUAUCCUUGUUCAGUAUGUAAGUUCCUUUGGCAGCUGCGUCAAGCUGAGCCGACCGCCUGGCUAAUUUCCUAGUCGAGGCUAACUCAAAUGAAGCCGCUAUGAGACCUGGUGCAGCCACCAACAUUGCUAAGGCGUGAGUUGUGGCGAUUACAGCCACCGAAGCCGUUAGCGCGACAAGCAAAAUAGCUGAGCCGCAUUUUAUGCUUUUGACGAGCUGGAGCUUGGCUCGAGCCUUGUCACGUCCUAACUCUAACCGCUUGAGUAAGCCAGAGCAGCCGGUUUGGAUGACCCGAACCCGAGCCAAUAUUACUGGAAAGCGGUUUACGGGUAGUAACUCAGUGGCUCCAUGAGAUUCCAGGGUGGAUUUCAAGGAUCGGUACCAAACACGUAUACGGUUAAUAUCCUUUAGCAGAAGGCUACACAGGAAAGAAGCGUUAGCCGUUUCAGAAAAGUAUUCGGCUAGAAUAGAGUGGUUUUUGGGUCUGCUUUGAGCCAAAGCCAAUAGUUGAGUGACAGUGGGUUGGUCCGGAUCUAAGAGAUAUUCAGCGAAGAGCCGGUAGGAUGAGAGCCGAGCCGCAGUGGUGGACUCUAUGGGAAUUGACGUGGCGCUAUCUCCAUGGGUUAGAGUAAGGACACGUGUCCAAAACUCAAUGUAUGAUUCAGUGCGGAAGGCAUUAGCAUAUUCUUCGCGAUAAUCCACAUAAUUAGGAAGAUUAGGAGGGUUGGAUCCGGAGACUGCAUGAUAAAAAACAAAAUGGGAUAUCACAAUCUUUUAAUUUGUCACAUCAUACUAUGUUAAAUUACAACCCGACAUCAACAAUUUAAUCCAAAAACCAAUUAAUGUUUGUUAAAAAUACGGUAAAUCUUUUAUGAUAUUCUGCAUCGCACCUCAUUGAUUUAUUUUAAUAGACAUUAUUUAGGUGGUCCAUUUCCCGAUUUAAAAACGAUUCUUAUAACUCAAACUCAUUACCCUUAACCUAAUAUCAAUUAUUGGAUCGGGUUUUGAUCGAUUUUUUACUCCAAUACUAGUUUUUGGAUCAAACUUUCACUAUCUAAUAUAACUAUCAAUUUGCAUUCAACAAAAAUAAAUCAAACCUUUUAUAAUAUUCAACAUAACAAUCAACAGUCGUAUUCUAAGGGUACACCCAAAAGGACAUUACUAUAUCAAAAAAUUAGGAUGUUUUCAUAUACUAAAUUAUCACAUUUCCUCAAAACGAAAUUACUUUCAACUAUUGAAUACCACUCUAAUAGUGAAAAAUAUAAUUAAUGAAUCACAUGCAUAGAAAAUCAUACCAAAGUACUUGCCCUAUCCAUGAUAUAAAGUCUUAACACAAAUUAGGGCAAUCAACUUCUGAAAAAUGGGCACAUGGUACAUACCAUGGGACACCCUGUUCUUCAGUACAGGGCUUCAAUGGCAUUAGUGGUGAUGUGAGACUACUCCUAGACCCCUGUUCUCUCUUUUCUUUCAUUCCGACUAUCUUUGGAAGACAUGGGGCUGUGGGGGAUUCUGGUUGUUGGGUUAUGCUAACCCUAGCCAUUCUCAAUCAAUGCUCUUAACUUCACUCAUGUUGGACCAAUUUCUAUUUCUCACAUUUUGUACCCACUAAAUUUCUAGGGUAGAUGUGGCCUGUUUGGGCUUAUUUUGGGUUCUUUUUUAGCUCCCUAGGGCCUAGCCAAUUUGCCACUUUUUCUAUCAUUUUAGAAAUGACAAUGAUUUUUUUUUUUCCAAAAAAGAAAACAUUUUUAGUAUAUUUUUCUUUAUUGGAAGUAGAUGGUAAUUUAGAACUAUACAAUUUAUUCUACAAUAAGAUAAAAUAAUUUUAAUAAAAACUAGUGUUGAACCUACAUUUCACCAAACAUGAAUUUGUUGAGUUGAAAUAUUAAAUCGAUGUAAUUUAGAAAAAUAAUUAUAACUUAAGACUAUGUUUCGUCUAUGAAAAGUAUUAAAAAAAGAAAAAAGUUAUUAAUUUUUUUUCUUAAAAUAACUUUUAAUAGAAGGGACUUCAAGAUUUAUUUUAAGGGAACAAGGGAAUAAAUUUUUUAUUUCAAGUAGUUGAAAACAAAAUUUUAUUUAAAAUUUUUUAAUUUCAUAUUGUUAAAUAUUUAUAUUUUAAAAAUAUAAAUUAAAUUAUUGAUAUAUUCUGAAAAGGAUACAUUUUUUGAAAAAAUAUUUUUGAAAGAGUUUUCUAAAGCCUCCUAUUAGACAUGUAUAAAAAGAACCAUUGGUUUUUUUUUUUUUUUUUUUCUAUUUUUAAAAGUAAAAUUAAUAUUAUUUUCUGUGGUGAAAUAAAUCUAAAUAUCAAAAAGUUAUGAAACUGCCUCUAAGAAAAUAAUUGAGAUGAUUUUUUCUUUUCUAACCAUGAAAAGAAUCAGACACUACUUUGGGCCAUUUGUAUGGAUUAAAAUGGGCUCCUAUGGGCCUUUGUGGCCCAUUUAAAACUUUUUCAAUAGGAGUAUCUUAGGCCUUGGCUCCAUACGUGGUAGCCCAAAUCCUUGAGCCCACCCAGGCCUGUGAUGGUGGCAUGAAUGGGAGAAAAAUAAAGGCUAGUGUAGAUAAAAUAAAAUAUAAAUAAAAAAUGAAAGUAUAUAUUUUAAGGACAAAUUCAGUCUGUCAGUUUAUUAAGACCUUGUUUGGAUUGACUUCUAACAAGUAAAAAUAUAUUUUUUCAUCUCUUGACGUACAUAAAUUUAUCAAAAAAUUUAUUAUUUAAUAAAAAAACUUAAAAUAAAGGGUUAAUCGAUUAAAAGGGUCAUUAAAAACCUAAUUUUUGAAAUUCACCUUUUCAUCAUUUUUCUAGCUUUAUCUGGACAAAAAUAUUCUCGUAUUUUUCUCGUAAAAAUAACCACUUCUUUUAAAACCUACAUAUAAAUACUUGAAAUAUUAAAGGUCAUUUAUGUCAAAAAUUAAUUACUUUUCAAGUAAAAAUAUGAAAAGUUAAAUUUACAAAUUUGAAAAUUAUUUUAUCCCUUUUAAUCAAGUAAUUCUAAAUAAAAAUAAGCACAUAAUUAGUUCUUAUAAAAGCCCUGUUUUAAAUGAAAUAUAAAAAAAUUUUGAUUUAAAAUUAAAUUAAAUAAAAAUGAAAAAUAAAAGUAAAAAAACGAAGAAAAAAAUAGGUGUAAAAUCAAUAAUUUUUUCUACAUGCUAACCUAAACUUUUUUUUACUCAUUUUAGCUAUUUUAUAUAAAAAUUAAAUAAUUUAAAAAUAAAUAACUUUUUAACUAAUUUUAAUUAUAUAUUUUUUAUAACUAAACUAUAUACGAGAAAAUCACUAUCUUUAAUAUUUUUUUUUCCUUUUGUUUUUAUUGAUAUUUUCAUAAACCCAACAUAAUCAAAAUAUGAAAAUGAAUAAAUAAAUACAUGAAUAAAAAAAAAAAAUUGCAUACCAGAGCAUGAAAGGAAUUUUCGGAUGCAAAUGCUGAUUCUUUUCCUCAUUCUGCUUCUUCAAAUGCAAAAUUCAGGUCAGAGAUGAAGAAAAUUUGGCUUCAAUGGUUGGAUUCUACACAAGUCUGGAGAAGGAAGUGAAAGGAAAAUGGAAAAGGGCUCUUUAUAAACCAAGAAAAUAGUUUCUUGCUUUUGCUUGUGGGAAAGGUGAGCUUGAAGUGCAAGCCAAGGACUUGCCUACAUUUUGAUACUUACAAGGAAAAUGCAAAUAUUUGAUUAUUAUUAUUAUGAUCAUAUUUUCCGGGGAGUGAACUGUUUGGAAGGAUGGAAAAUUUUGUGGGAAAGCUUAUACACGUGGGAUAAUUUGUAUAGUUCUAGAAAACAUUAAUGUGCAAUCGAAGUCUAUGGAGAUAGAUUGCUUGUUUUAACCCACCACCCAUAAUAUUAUUUUCUUAAUUGAAUGAAAUAUGCCAUAAAAAGAAAAAUAAAAAAAAAUGAUUAAAAAGAAAAACUUAUCAUAAAAAAAGAUGAAGAAGCAAUAAACAUUCGAAUAAUGUAUAAAAUCUUGCUUACUAGAUCAAAUAUGGGAUAUUAGGUUGAAAGCGUUAAAUCAUAAAUCCAAAUACUAAGUGAGUAUUUGGUAAAUCAACUUAAUAGCUUAAAGUGAUUUAAUAAUUAAUUUAAGUUAUUAAGUAAAUUAAGUAUGUUUGAUAAAACAAAUUAAUGAUAUAACUUAAAAUAAAAAAUAACUUGAAGUAAUAAGUAAAAAUAAUUAACUUAUUAUUAAGUCUACAUCCCUAUUUUUACUUUUUUACCCUUAUUUGUUUUAAUUACUUCCAUAAUUUUUUUUACUACUCCACGACACCUUUAUUGUUACUUCAUCUUUUUUAUCCUAGUUAUAAUUUAUGAGGAUGAAUAUGUUAAUUUAAUGAUUUAAAAUAAAUUUUAAGUUAAUUUUAUCAAAUAACUUUAAUACUUAAAGUAAAAAUUAAAUAGUAAGUUUUAAGUCAAUAAGUUAAAUAAAAUUUAACUUAAAGUCAAUUUAAGUCAUUAAAUAAGUAUUAAGUCUUAACAAAUACCCCUAACAUUCACUUAGUAAAAAUAUAAAAUAUUUAAUUACUCAAGUAUUGGUUUGAUUAUAAUUUCUGUUUUUUAUUUUUAAAAUAGAAAAAAAUGAUAACUUUUAUAAAGAUGUGAAAACUAUCACAAUCUACAUAUAUUGAAAGAGUGAUAACAUUAAAAUUUAUUUACAAAAAUUGAAGUAUAUAAAAAAAUUACUAUUUCAAUUUUCAAAAUUUUCAAAAGUGAUUUUUAAACUAUAAAAUAAUUUAUUUUUAAAAAAUAUCUUACUUUUAUAUGGUAUAUAUUUUAAAAAUAAAAAGAAUAAAAAGUAUACUUGCAUUUAUAUACUAAUUUUAUAUCAUUAUUAAUAUUUACUCAUUUUAUUUUAAAAUAUGUUAUUUAUAUAUAAUUAAACUAUACCUCAACAAGAUAAAGAGGAAGAAAAUAAAGUUAGUAAUCUCACAUCAAUUAUUGAUGGUAUUUGUUCUUUGACUGAAUAGAAAAAGUCAAAAUAUUUAAUUUUUUUUAUUAAGUUAAAAGUAAUUGGUUAAUAUCAAUCAAUACAAGUAAAGUAAAUUUUUUAUCAAUAGAUUUAAUUUAGUCAUAUUGAUCGAUAUCAAAAGAUUACUUUUACUUAAAUUAAAAAAGUUCAAUAUUUUAUCUUUAUUUUAGAAUCAUUGCAAAAAUAUGAAUGAAAUAUAAAAAGUUCAAUAGCUUUGAAAACGAUAGAGGCAUCGAUGACUAUUAAUUUUAUACAUCCGUCAAAUUGAUGGACUAAAAUAAUAUUUUAGUACUUAAUUUUUAAUUUUAUCAAAUACCAUGUUAGUGGAUUAAUUUUUAAUUUUAUCAAAUUCCUUGUUACUUUCAAAUCACAAAUAGUUUACAAAAUUAAUUAAUUUUAAAUCUAAAAAUGAAUUGAAGUUUGUAUCAACUAUGUUUCCUAAUUUCAAACCUUAGUGAUUUAGGAAACCAAGUUUGUAUCAACUAUGUUUCCUAUUCAUGUCCACUUUCUAUUUUCUCUCAUGAGCCAAUUGGAUUACCAUCCAAAAAAAGUAAGAAAAUAAAUAAAUUACACAAAAAUAGAAAUUCUUAGUUUACACCAAAUCUAUGAUUCUAUCUAUAAAUAACUACUAGGACUCAAAUUUAGCUCAAGAAAUUUGAUGUUACUUUCUAUUUCUACUCAGAUUUCCGCUCUAUAUAUUCUCUAAAAUCCAAGGUUUUUCCAGUUUCUGGUUAGAAGAAGAAGAUGGUAAAGCUUGAAGAUAUGGAGGAUGUGAUGAUGAAGAAGGACCGCUGGGAGAAGUUUGAUGCCCUGGUAGAAGUAGCGUUCGUUGCCGGACGGCAAGAGGAGGACGAAGAACGAGAGAAGAAAAUGAGAGAAGAGAUGGAGAAAGCUGUUGCAUUCCUCUCCCUCGCCGCGAAGAAGCGUUGUAAGACCGUGCCGAGACCAUAUCAGCAGCCGAACAUGGAGCCACCUCCGGAGAUGCCGGAGAGAUUCAGAAGGAAGAUAAUGGAGAUGGGGGGAGACAAUGUGGCGUUUGUGAUCGAGAAGAUGCUGUUCGAGACGGACGUGAGCGCGGGGCACAACCGAUUAUCGAUGCCCAUGUGCCAAAUCAGGCAGGACUUUGUGACGAAGGAAGAGAGGAGGAGGUUGGACUCGACGGACGCGAACAUAAAUGGAGUGGAGGUGAUUCUGGUAGAACCGUCCUUGGAGGACGACGAAGUGAUGCUGAAGAAGUGGAAGAUGAAGAGGAACUCGAUUCUGUAUGUGCUGAUAAAGAACUGGAACUCUGUUGUGAAGAGGAAUGGACUGGGUGCAGGGGAUGUGGUUAGGGUUUGGUCGUUUAGGGUUGGGUCGAAGCUGGGUUUUGCCCUGGUUAGGGUUGGAGAUGAGGAACAUGAAGGCAAGAAAGGCAAGUCGACGGGGAAGAAGAAGAAGGAUGGUGGGAGUGGAAGUGGGAGUAAAGGGAAAGAAGUUGAAGACAAUGGUGGCAAUGAGACUUGGAUCCACUAGCCAUGCAUACGUGAUGUGUUCUUAGGGUCAUAUUUGUAAUUUGAGGGGUUUGUUUUUUUUUUUUUUUGGAAAAUUAUCUUACAUGGUUUUUGGGUCCUGUAAGAGUUAGGUCCUGCAAGGGUUUUUGAGUCCUGUUAAGUGUUAGGUCUUGUAAGGGUUUAUGAGUCAUGUUUGGGUUAAGUCACCAAAUUUCAUUGGGAAAAUUUAACUAUAAGAUAGUUCAAAUUUUCUCAAAUUUUCUCAUUUGUUUGCCUUUUUCUCCCAUAGCUCAUAGCCAUUUAUGAUCAUAAUAAUGUAUUAAUAUUGAAACCAAUGUGGCACGAUGGGGGCACCUCUAACUCUAUUAUUUUUGUAGUGAAACAUAGGUAUAUAUGACACAUCUUAUAAUAUAAAUAUAUUAAAAAUAUGAUGUAUUAUGAUAUGAUCAAUUUUAUUUUUUUAUUAAUUAUUAAUGUUGAUUUUUUAUUAUUAAAAUGUUUUCUUGAUAACUUUAUUACAAAGUAAAACAAUUCAAUAUUUACGAAAUCAAUAUAAUAAUAAAUAUAAUGACUUUGUUACUCUGUGCAACCCCUCAAUUCAAACCGAUGCUUGUUGUUGCACCAUGAAAGAUGUUGUAAAGCACGUAUGGAUAAUUGUCUAGACACUUAUGAAUAUUCAAAUCAAAACUGUGAAAGCCUAGAAAAAUACUUGUCUAGACACUUAUGGAUAAUUGUGAUACACUCAUUGACAUUCAGUUAAUAGCAAACCAAUCAUAUAAGAUACUUUUUUUUUGUUUAGUUGUUAUAUAUGUAUACUUAUGAGUUUUAUCAUAAGAAUCAUUGACAGUGAAAAUAGACUUAAUAUAUGAUGUUAAUUCAUUGAUAUAAUGUAUUAAUAUGGGAACCGAUGUGGCGUGAUGGGCACCUCUAACUUUAUUAUGUUUGUCACAUAUGCAUUGACCAAAUUAUAUAGAAAACUUAAUUAUAACACAUAUGCAUUAAACUUAUAAUACAAAUAUGUUAAAAUUAAUUAGGACAUGACCAAAUUUUAUUUUUUAAUAAUUAUCGCUAUUGAUUUUUUUUUAUUAAAAUAUUUUUUUAUAGUUGUUGUUAUUAAUUAGUAGUAUUAUUAUUAUGUUUGACUUUUAAAUCCUUUUCGGGACUUGUAAAAAUAGAUUCCUUAAGGGGACUUCUAAGCUACAUAUGACUUAAAUUAAAGAGUAAAAAAAUGUGAGUACAAUUUUAUUUUAUUUUUUGUAUGAAUUAAAGAAUAAAAAAGUAGUGGACAAAUUUUAAUAAAAAAUGUGAGUAUGAUUUUUGUGAUAUUCUUUAAAUUAAAGAAUAUAUAAUCUUCUGAUUCAACCUCUUGAGGAUUCAAAUUUGGCAAUUAUGUACUUUUGCUUAACUUAAUCAAGGGUUGACUAGGCUUGAUCUUGACUCUUCCACAUCAAUAGUUGAUUUGUACCAAAAUAUAUACUUAUAAAAACACUAAUGAUUGCGCUCUAGACUCGCAACGGGGACAAAUCACUAUUUAUAUCUUAGAUUAGUGUUAAUAUCCAUUUUGAGAACUAAUGCACUAUUUUUUAAUAAACAGACAAAGAAAAGGAGAAAUGUGAGAAUUUGAUGCUAUUUUGACAUAUGAAAUAAAAUAAAGGUACGAAUAUAACGCAUAAAGAUGUCCUAGUAUUUAUUGAAGUGGAGAAAGUGGAGUAAAGCAAGAACAAUCACAAAAGCAUAUCAAAUUGGUUUAAGGAGUAUUAAAAUUGAUUUGAGGUCAAACUAAUAACAAAAGAAAUGAAGUAACACAAACCAAUGCCCAAAAUUAAUAUUCCCAUUUCAAAACCAAUUCAGGAGGACAAUGAAGAUGCAUUAGUAGUAAUUCGCAUUCAAAUUCUGAUUUGUAAAGCUUUAAAUUAGUUUUGACGAUUCCACUUUAAAGAGAAAUUGGUUUCACUAGAGCUUCUUGCAAGUUUCCCAUUGAAAUUCAUAUUUGAGACUUUACUUUUGUAAUUAUGGUUUGUUAGAUAUUACUUUUGUUAAAGUGGCCAAUGAGGUUAAGUGACAUGUACUUUUAGGGUUAGAUUAUACAUACUUUUCAUUAAUGGGUUAAAAGGAGAGUGUAGUUUUAUAUUUGGAUUUUCAUGUUCAUAUGUUGAAGAUCUUUUGCUUUAUUUUCAAUAAUACCAUAGGUUCCUUAUUAUCUUAUGAAAUUUGUGUGAAAACUCAACCAUGAGAGGCUAUGAACCUUUCUUCUAGCAAUGUAGCAUAAAAGGUGGAGGAUUGGGACAAAGGGCAAUGAGUAUAGUAAGGCUACAUUGGUAGAUUAGGGUUUUGAUGUUUAUUUUGAGGUAAUGAGAUCCUUGGUAUAGUUUGGAUUGGGUGAAAUAUAGUAGAUGCUUGUUUAAGGUACUACUAAUACCUAGACACCGGGUAAUUAAGUCUAAUCCCAAAUAUAUAAGAUGAAUAAAUAAUUUGGAUAUAUGGACAAAUUUAGGUUUUGUCAGAUUUAGAGUCAUAGGAAAAGUCUUAUCAAUCUAUAAAAGUCAAUUAUGUCGAUAUCAGAGGAGGGUAUCCGAAUAUGACACGAUGUUCUUUUCUUCUCUAGUUUUUAUUAGCCAAAAUUUCUAUGGAAAUAAAGAAAUUUAUAGUAAAACAAAAAGUAUGAAUCAAGAAAAUGGUGUCAUCCCCAAUGACCAUGAAAAUAAGUUUAAAGUGAUUAUAUUAUUUUCAUAUAUCUACCCAAUUUCAUUUAUUUUAUUUUUUAUUUAAACAAUGAAAAUCUUUCAAAUAUAUAAAAUAUGUAAGUUUUUAAUUUUUUUUGGCAAGCCCAACCCACAUUGCCACCACCUUAAUCAUUGUUUUCUAGGGGGAAAAGCCCGUCUAAACAAGCCCAUAUCACCACAGUUUGGGCUCUACCUUUUGACCCCAUCUCGGAUGAGUAAUGCAUUUAAAGGCCUCCCUAUUCGUCGUCCGAUGUGGGAUUGGUGAUAUUAGUUUAAAGAAAAACAAUGAAAGAAAAUCCCACCAAGUUUAAGAGAUAAUAUGGGCACCACUCGCCCACACACUUUUUAAUGCUAAGCUUAGCAAACACAAAAAAAAUAUCAUUUUCUAAAAAAUUUUAUAAUAUUAAAUAAAAACAAUGUAAUAUUUUUAAAAAUCAAGUAAUUAAAUUUUCUCUAUUUUUAAUAUAUUCAAAUUUAAAUAUUAUACAUAUUUUAUUUAAAUAUAAUAUCACAUAUUCGAUGACUAAUUUAACUAGUUAGUUAUGAAUCAAUAAUUUUUUUGAUUUAAUAUUCCGAAUUUUAUUUUAUUUUUUUCUCCUACUAUACUCAUACAAUAAACACACGAUCAAUUAAAUAAUUUUUUAUACUUUGAUAUCAUUUAUUUAAACUUUGAUUUGAAAAUCAAUAAAUAAAUAAUAAUAAACCUAGAAUCUAGAACCUUCCAAAUGGAAGACAAAGUGGAGCAUGUUGUGGCAUUAUGCUCAAUUUUGAGAAGAAAUUCUGUAGAAGGCAGUUAGAUGCCUAAAUUCAACUUAAAGCAUCUUUUUAUUAAUUAUUAUCAUCCCCUCAACCCCCUCUCCACUCACUUUUACGAUUCGCCACCUCCACUCAUUUCGGUCUCCCGAUUUUUUACUUUCUGUUCAUUUUCUUACGUAAUAUUAAAAUUAUUCUUACACAUAAUAUAAAUUAUUUUCUUUAAAAAAAAAAUACAAUUUCCAGCGUAAAAAUAAAAGCCUUAAAGAAGUCUGUAUUACAAACCCGGCCCAAAAAGGGCAGUUUUCCGGACAAAUUAUUUGUCCAACACCAUUAUUGUUCAUAGUAUUAUUCGAGGAAGGAGAUGAUCCAAAAUCAAAAGUCAUCACCAUCGUAAUCUUCCAAGUCAUCACCAUCGAUCCUAUCUUCCACGUCAUCAGCAAUGUGAUCCUCCAAAGCAUCCACGCCCUCCGAUAUUGCCAGCCCACCCAAGACCCCUGCGACUGCGCCCACUGCCAGUCCCGUCCCCAUCCCCAUCCCUGACUUCUUCUGCGGCUGCUCCACCACCGUCUGUCCGUAUGGCCCCUGCGCGUAUGGCCCUUGUCCGUACGCCGGAUCUCCGUAUCUUGGCUGAGGCUGCCCAUAUGCCGGCUGUCUGUAGGGGUCUUGGCCGUAGGGUGGUGCAUUGGAGUAGUAAGGAUCAGGUGGGGGUGCGCCGUAUGGAGUGGCGUAAGCCGGGGAAGCCGCGUAGCCUGCGCCUCUGGUUCCCGCUGGCGGGGGCACGCCGUAAGGGGGUGAGUAGGCAGACCCAGGCGCACGGUAGCGCGGAUCUCUCACAGAGACCUUGACUUCCACCUUGCCAUGAGGGCGGCCAGAGGGGCGGCGGAGCUCGAGAGUGCGGAUGGCCUGGGCGCCGAAGCCGACGUCAUCGACGACGUCGCGGAGGAAGAGGCGAGCGGAGCCGACGACCGGCUUGGUGUCGUCUUCGUCAUCGGCUUUGAGAUGGACAACGUCGAGGUAGAGUGUGGAGUCUUCGAUCCGGGAGGGCACUGGAAUGAGUAGAGUCUCGUUCCAGCAAGGAAAGGUGUCGCCGUCGUUGUCGACUUUGGUGGAGAGCUUGGCCGCAGGAUCCACCCAAACCACGACGUAUGGCUUCAGAGAGCCGUGACGCCAGUUGACGUUCUUCAGAUCUUUGGCGGAGGAGAUAAUCAGCUCUAUCUCGUAGCGACCAGCCAUGGAAGGGGCAAUAAGGGAAAAAUAAUGGAGAAAAUGGUCGGACUGUCGAAUGGUUGCUAGUCGUGGGUCAAGUAUUUAUAGGCUUUAAUGUCCGCUUGUCCUUCGAAAAUCUUGUCCCUUUUACCGUUAUACCCUCCUACCCAUGUUUGAAAAAAAAAAAAAAAACAAAUAAGAAACAACUUCUCUGUAAGUCAAAAGACAACAUUUUUCUAAUUUUAAAAUUAAACUAUUUUUGAACGUUCGGUGAGAGGGUAUUUUGGUAAAAAAAUAUGACAGAGGAGCUCAACUGGGGAAGGGCAUAAUAGGGAAAAGACUAACUAGGGAAAGGGUUUGGGCCCCACGGAUUGCUUUCUCACUAAGCAUCGAGAUUGUCCUGAUGCUCUGUCUUUAUGCGCACUCGAUGGUUGCGGAAUUCUAUUGGUGUAACCGGAUAAUGCCGGUGUCAGAUGUCAAUUGAGAGGAGAUCGGCGUUGUCCACACGAGGAAUAUUCUCGCAUGACAGAGAAAGGUCUCGUAACGAGAUUGGUCCUACGCGGAAUAGACACGGCGUCACUUGGGCCGGACCUUGUCAAUUUUGUAUCUUUUAGGCCCAAAAAGUGGGCCACCAAGGCAGCCCAUGGGCUUGUUGCAAGCCCACUAUUGCCAUCUUUCAUCUACUUCACCAGGAAAAGUUCUUGAUUUCUCUUCCAAGGUGGAACCGUUGAACGUCCAUGAUUAUUUGUCAUGAUUAUAAAGCAAUAAAAAUUUUAAUUUAUUUACUUAUGAUGUUUUUAUUCAAUUUAUAUGAUCAUAAUGUUAUUAAGUCACUUCUUUUGUUAUAUGUUUCUUAAAAUCAUUUGAAAAUUCAAUUUCUAAAGUCUUAAAAAUAAAAUCACUAGUCUAUGGUCCAUGACUACUAAGUUUUUGCAUUUUGUAUAAAAAUUAUUGUCAAUUUUCUAUUUUAAAAACAAAAAGGCAUAAUCAAUUAGAUGAUAUCAUGUAUGUGCCUUCGAAUUUUAUUCAUUUAUACUUGAAUUUGGUUCGUUCUAUAUUCUUGAAUUUAGAAGUCCCAAAAGAUUCUUCCAAUAUAUCAUUUUCGGUCCAAUGGAAGAAUUUUAUUUUUUAUUUGUUCACUUUUAAAAAAUCGCAUUCCAUUCUUACUUGCAAUAGAAACCCAAAAGAUUCUUCCAAUAUAUCAUUUCUGGGUCUAAUGGAAGAAUUUUAUUUUUUAUUUGUUCACUUUUAAAAAAUCGUAUUUCAUUCUUACUUGCCAUAGAAAAUAUGGGAAAUUGGUUAUGGCCUCAACACGCUAUAUCUCCCCUAAAAAUUUAGUUAUUGUUUGGAUAUAUUUCUUGUAUUUUAUAUGUAGAAAUACAUUUUAUAUAAAAAGUAUGAACUUACCUUAUAUCCUUAAAAAAUAUUUUACAAUUAAACUUUGAAAACUAAGAAAGAUCAAAGGGAAACUAUUUUCUCAUGUUAAAAUAAAAAUAAAAUAACUCCGUUAAUUUGAAGAUGGUUCAUGAUCCUUGACAAUGACACCAUUUUCUUGAUUGAUACUUUUGGUUUUAAUAGAAAUUUCUUUAUUUUCAUAGAAAUUUUGGUCAAUAACAACUAAAAAGAAGAUAAGAAUAGUGUGUAAUAUUCAAAUAUCUUCCUUUGACAUCGGCAUAAUUGACUUUUUAUUCAAUUUAUAUGAUUAUAAUGUUAUUAAGUCACUUCUUUUGUUAUAUGUUUCUUAAAAUUAUUUGAAAAUUCAAUUUCUAAAGUCUUAAAAAUAAAAUCACUAGUCUAUGGUCUAUGACUACUAAGUUUUUGCAUUUCGUAUAAAAAUUAUUAUCAAUUUUCUAUUUUAAAAACAAAAAGACACCAUCAAUCAAAUGAUGUCAUGUAUGCGCCUUCGAAUUUUAAUCAUUUAUACUUGAAUUUGAUUUGUUUUAUAUUCUUGAAGUUGGAAGACCCAAAAGAUUCUUCCAAUAUAUCAUUUCCGGGUCUAAUGGUAGAAUUUUAUUUUUUAUUUGUUCAUUUUUAAAAAAUCAUAUUCCAUUCUUACUUGCCAUAGAAAAUAUGGGAAAUUGGUUACCGCCUCAACACGCUACAUCUCCCCUAAAAAUUUAGUUAUUGUUUGGAUAUAUUUCUUGUAUUUUACACGUAGAAAUAACUUUUAUAAUAACUUUGAUAUAAAAAGUAUGAAUAUACCGUAUAUCCUUAAAAAAUAUUUUGUAAUUAAACUUUGAAAACUAAGAAAGAUCAAAGGAAAACUAAUUUCUCAUGUUAAAAUAAAAACAAAAUAACUCUGUUAAUUUGAAGAUAUUUCAUGAUUCUUGACGAUGACACCAUUUUCUUGAUUGAUACUUUUGGUUUUAAUAGAAAUUUCUUUAUUUUCAUAGAAAUUUUGGUCAAUAACAACUAAAGAGAAUAUAAGAAUAGUGUGUAAUAUUCAAAUAUCUUCCUCUAACAUCGGCAUAAUUGACUUUUUAUAGAUUGACUAAAGUUAGCUUUAAAUCCGAUGAAACCUAAAUGUGUCCAUACAUCCAAAUUAUUUAUUCAUCUUAUAAAUUUAGGUUUAGACUUAAUUAGAAUAGAUCAAAUCAAGUUAACUAAUGAUUAAGUGGUGUCUAGAUAUUGGUAGUAUAUUCACAAACAUCUAUUUUAUUUCACCUAAUCCAGACUACACCAAGGAUCUCAUUAAUUAUCUCAAAAUAAACAUCAAAACCCUAAUCUUCCAAUCUAGUCUUAUUGUACUCAUUGCUUCUUCUUGUCCCAAUCCUCCACCAUCAUGCUACACCACCAUAAGAAAGGUUCAUAGCCUCUAAUGGCUAAGUUUUAACACAAUUUUCAUAAGAGAGUAAGAAAUCGACGAUAUUAUUGAAAAGAAAGCAAAAAGUCUCCAAUAUAUGACCGUGAAAAUCCAAAUGUAAAACUACCUUCUCCUUUUAAUUUAAUGAUGAAAUAUAUAUAUAAUCUAACCCUAAAAAGACAUGUGACCUCAAGGAUGAAAAUAUUGGUUUUUAUAGAUAUAUCGACAACUCAAUUUUAUAGAGAUAUAAGAAAAUAUCGAUGAAUAUUUUGACUCAAAAUAUCAAUAGGACAAAAAUCGAUGAAAACUAGUAAACAUGUUGAAAAAAACUCUAAAAAUGAUAUAAUAAACAAUAAUAAAUAUUUUAAAGUUUUUUUAUCAAAGAAAAUGAUAUUAUACAAUAUAAUUUAUCAUAUUUGAUAAUAAUAUCGUAUAUGUCGAUAACAAAUAUGAAUUUUAUAAGUGUACAUUUAUCAUUAAAUUACAUCAAAUAUUAUUCAAUAAUAAUAUUAUAAUAUUUUAUUAUAAUAUGUUUAAUUUUAAAUAUUUAAUAUUAAAUUUAUGAUUCAUUUAAUUCAAUUGUAUUAAAUAAUAUAAAAUAAAUGAUGAUAUAUAUAUAUAUAUAUAUAUAUAUAUAUAUAUAUAUAUAUAUAUAAUUUUUUAAUAUUUAAUUAAUAUAUUAAUGAUAAUUUUUAUAUUUUUGGUAAUUAAUCAAAUGAAAAAUUUUCAUUUAAUUAUAAUUAAUUUGUUCUUUAAAAUAUUCCUUUAAUGUUUUGUUUAUAUGAUAACUUUAUAUAUAUAUAUAUAUAUACUUGGUGCACUAUGUUUAAAAAAGACAUAUAUAUCAUAUGAUUCAAAAAGGUUAAUAGACGAAGCUAUCUCUUUCUCUAAAUUUAUAGAAAUCCUUUCCAAUCAAUCUGAAUUUGAGAUUAGUUUUAUUUUUUUCCCAAUUUAAUUUAAUGAUUUUCUUGGUGUUAAUUCCAGGCAAAUGCUGUGAGGGCAUAUCGUCCUCAGUGGACGUGCAGGAAAAAGGACAUAUACCCACAGUUCUAUGAGGACGCCAAGGUGUACUGCAAUGGUGAACUGGUGAUGACCACUGGUGGGACUCAGAAGGAGUAUGUGGUCGAUGUCUGGUCUGGAAACCACCCCUUCUACCUCGGGAACCGCUCCGCUCUUCUAGUGGACGCUGAUCAAGUCGAGAAGUUCCGGAAGAAGUUUGGGGAAAUAUCACAGAUUAUGGAAAUUCCUGUCCUCAAAUAUGGAGAAAUCGUGCUACCACCUAAACGCAAAUCUGGUUCUGGUAAAGGGGGAAAGAAGAAGUAGUUGCCCAAUUUCACGGUAAAAAGAAAUAGCCUCUGUUUGGUUGCAAGGAAAAAAAUUGGAAGCAAGUUAUGAAUCUUAUCUGUUUAUUUUCUUACUUUUCUCAGCUUCCAAAUAGGGCAAUUAGGGUUUUGGUUUUCUGUUUAUUGGACAGUGUAAUUUGAUUACUUGUUAUAAAUUUUUUAAAGUAAUCCCUAUUUCGUGUUCAGUGGUAUGUCUUAAUUUUUUUUCUUUUUGAUUAUUAUUAAUUUUAAUUGUAUAUUUUAUUAAAUACUUUAAAAUGUCCUAUAGUCCAAAAGAAUAGUUUUGUCUAGAACCAUGUUCACUGAUUGUGAUGCACUAAGUAAAUAUCAGUCAGCUUACUCUGGGAAACCCCAUUGAGAUUCUGCAGUUCCCAGAACAACAAUAAUAUAAGUAAAUAUCGUUCUAUAUUCUUGAACUUAGAAGACCCAAAAGAUUCUUCCAAUAUAUCAUUUCCGGGUCCAGUGGAAGAAUUUUAUUUUUUAUUUGUUCACUUUAAAAAAAUCGCAUUCCAUUCUUGCAAUAGAAACCCAAAAGAUUCUUCCAAUAUAUCAUUUCCGGGUCCAAUGGAAGAAUUUUAUUUUUUAUUUGUUCACUUUUAAAAAAUCGUAUUCCAUUCUUACUUGCCAUAAAAAAUAUGGGAAAUUGGUUAUGGCCUCAACACGCUAUAUCUCCUCUAAAAAUUUAGUUAUUGUUUGGAUAUAUUUCUUGUAUUUUAUAUGUAGAAAUACAUUUUAUAUAAAAAAUAUGAACUUACCUUAUAUCCUUAAAAAAUAUUUUACAAUUAAACUUUGAAAACUAAGAAAGAUCAAAGGGAAACUAUUUUCUCAUGUUAAAAUAAAAAUAAAAUAACUCUGUUAAUUUGAAGAUGGUUCAUGAUCCUUGACAAUGACACCAUUUUCUUGAUUGAUACUUGUAGACCCCCUUGUUGGCAGGGAGAGGGAGGGGGAAAAUAUUAUUUUUUUUAGGAGAGUGGGUGAGAUUGGAAGUGAUGGAGAGGACGGGAAGUAGCGGGAGAUUUGAGGGGGAAGAAAUCUGGAAAAAGAGAAAAGGAAAGGGGGGAAGAUUUUUUUUGAGGGUUUUUGAGGCUGGCGAUUAAGGAUUGGAGGUUUUGGAAAAGAAGAGAUUUUUUCAGAGGAAGAGAGUAGAGGUCCGGAUUUUUAGAAAGAAAAAAACCAAAGCUGAAAGGGGAGAGGGUGAUAUCUGGAGAGGAGAAAAACAAAGAAAAUGGAGAUAGAGACAGUCUGAAGGAGACGGAAAAAAAGCUGUGCUUGGGAGGAGCCUUUCAGGUAAGAUUUUUUUUGUAAACUUCACAUCUCUUUUUCUCUCUUAGGUACAGUCUUCGAUCUUCAUGCUCACUGUGGGGAUGAGGAAUUCGUUGUUUUUUUGUAGAGAGAGAAAAGAAUUGGGCGGCUGGGGGAUUAUAAGACAGUGGGAUGCUUUUUAAAAGUUUUUAAUUCAAAUUGUUUUUUUCUAGCAAGGCAUUUGGGUUCGUGCCUAUUUUUUUACUUUGAGUAAAGCUCUCAAAGCCAUUUAUAUAUAUUUUUUUAUUAUUCCUUUCUUGCAUGGAAAUCAUAACAUGGCAGAAGACUUUUUGGUGGGCUUGAAUAUUUAUGUCCAUUUUUCUUUCUUUUGCUUUUUGGCGAACACGUUUUCACAAAUUGAAUUCUCAAAACAACUUUCAAAAUUUCAGUUUUUUUAAUCACUUCAAUCUUCAAAUUAAUUUUUCAAAAAUUCUAAUAUCCAAAUUUAAUUUCUAAAAUGUCAUCUUAAAAUAAAUCUUUCAAACAAAUUCUGAUUUCCAAAUUCAAUUCCCAAUUUCUGAAAUUCUAAUUUUUCGACUUUCAAAUUUAAUUUUCAAUUUCCAAAAUUUUAAUAUUCACAUUCAUUUAUUUAAUCAUUACUAUUUUUUGUUAUGAUUAUUAUUAUUCUAUUUACUUAUUUAUCUUAAAAUUCCAUUCUUAAACAUUUUUUCUCAAAAUUUCAAUUUUUGAACUUAAUUUUUAAUUCCCAAAAUUCCAAUUCUUAAAUUUAAUUCCCAAAAUUCCAAUUUUCAAAUUUAAUUCCCAAAACUCCAAUUUUCAAAUAAAUUCCAAAAAUCCAAUUUUCACGUGAACAAUUUUAAUUCUAUUCCGGUUCUCAAUUUUUCUUGGUUUUACAUAAGCAUGAAUGUCAUUUUCAUAAUUUCAGAACAAUGGAAUUUGUGAGAUUAAUUCGUGCAAGAUCAAUCGGGCUUUGGUGGGGGCCCCACAUACGUGAUUUUAUGAUUGAUUGAUUUGUUUGUCACGCACAAUUUAUUUAUCCUGCUCUCCGACAUGCAUGCUAUUAUUUCUUAAUUAUGCACUAACCUCUCUCUUGAUAGCGCAUGGUGGCUCGUCGCCCAGGUACGCACUUACUUUCACUCUGGUAAUUGUCCAAGCAUAUUUUGAUUCUCACGUGUGCAUGAUUUAUUCUGGGUACUCAUUGAUCUACUCGUCCACUGCCCUGAUUGUUUCAUUUUAUUAGUAGAGACCCGUUUUUAGGGACUUAAAAGGGUGCUACGGUUUUUACCGUACCUUCCUGAUAAGUAACCUGACCCCCGAACCCGAUCCGGUUUUUUGUAGAUCACCUUUUCCAAAUAAGGAGUCACACUUAGGGUUUUUCUUUCUUAUUUUGUUUACCCUUUUAAAAAUAAAACAAAAAUAAGUGGCGACUCCAAGUCAUUUUUCCUAAUCAAUAAAAUCAAUUUUUCAAAUAAAAGUCGAGCUCGCCAUCGAAUGGGAAACGCAUUGAGCCGAAAUGCGGGGUCCACAAUACUUUUGGUUUUAAUAGAAAUAAAAUUAUAACUCUGUUAUAAGUGUACAUUUAUUAUUAAAUUACAUCAAAUAUUAUUCAACAAUAAUAUUAUGAUAUUUGAUUAUAAUAUGUUUAAUUUUAAAUAUUUAAUAUUAAAUUUAUGAUUCAUUUAAUUCAAUUGUAUUAAAUAAUAUAAAAUAAAUGAUGAUAUAUAUAUAUAUAAUUUUUUAAUAUUUAAUUAAUAUAUUAAUGAUAAUUUUUAUAUUUUUGGUAAUCAAUCAAAUGAAAAAUUUUCAUUUAAUUAUAAUUAAUUUGUUCUUUAAAAUAUUCCUUUAAUGUUUUGUUUAUAUGAUAACUUUAUAUAUAUAUAUAUACUUGGUGCACUAUGUUUAAAAAAGGGUGAGCUUGGCCCAAUGGCUGGAUAAGGCAUCUUUAUGCGUAAUAUUCAUACCUUUACUUAAUCUCAUAUGUCAUAAUUGAGUCAAAUUCUCACAUUUUCUACUUCUUUUUUUUUUUGGGUCUUUUUAUUAAAAAAUAGUGCAUUAGUUCUCAAGUAUUUAUAGCACAAUCAUUAGUAUCUUUACAAAUAUAUAUUUAAUACAACUCAAUUAUUAAUGCAAAAGAGUUGAGAUUAAACCUAGUGGACCUUGAUUAAGUCAAAUAAGAGUACAUAAUUGCCAUAUUUGAAUCCUUAAGAGGUCGAAUCAAAAGAUUAUACAUUAUUUAAUUUAAUAAUAAUAAUAACUAUAAAAAAAUAUUUUAAGAAUAAAAAAACCAAUAUUGAUAAUUAUUAAAAAAGUAAAUUUUGGUCAAGUUAUAAGUUCAAUGCAUAUGUGUCGUGCUAGAGUUUUAUGACAAACAUAACUCGAGGCACCGACCAUGCCAUAUUUAUUUCUAUAUUAAUACAUUAUUAUCAAUGAAUUAAAAUUUAGGUGUGUUCUUAUUGUCAAUGAUUCUUACAAUAAAGCCGACAAGUCUCAUAUACAAAAAUAAGAGGCGUCUUCUAUGGUUGGGUUGUAUGGGGUAUGGGAGAAAAAGGCAAACCAAUGAGAAAAUUUGAAUAUCUUAUAGUUCUAGUUUCCCAAUGAAAAUUGGCGACCUAACCUUCCUCCCUUCCUCCGUCGAGUCCAGCGACCUCUUCUCUUCCUCCGCCACAAAGUCCUGCCUGAUUUGGCAGAUGGGCAUCGAUAAUCGGUUGUGCGCUGGAAAUCAGCACCAUGGAUCAGCAAAGCUUGGCAGACUGUAAACUCAAAAAUCCUUUACAUAUAUAGCUGAGGCAUGUUUGAUCAACUGGCCCAAGGGUGUCUUAUUUCUCAGGUUCCCUUUACCAAUACAGGUCAAAAUCAAGAAGGAUUAGCCCACCUUGACAUUAUAAUGUUGCAUGGAAAAAGUUUCCCGAGAAACCCAAGAAACUUUGAAAGUUCUAGAAUAACGGGUUGAAGAAUCUUAUAAUUCACCAUAUUUUCUUUUUCUUUUUUGGUAUUUUUAAUUAUAUAAAAAAAGAAUAAUAAAUAUCAUAAAAAUAAAUAUUAAUUAUUAAAUUAAGAAAAUCAAAUAUUAUUAAUAUUUUAUUUUUAUUAAGGAAACAAAUAUUAUUUUUUUAUUUAUGAUUUAUGAAAAUAUUGAUUCUACCAUCAUCUACACUAAAGUGCUUAACCCACGACAAUCUCCUCAUUGGCGUGCUCAAAGUUCCUGCAAAUGUUUCUUUACCGAAGAAAUGUGAAGGAAAAUAAAAUAAAAUAAAAUAAAAUCACAUAAAAAAUAUCAUGAAAUCCAUAAUAUACUAUAUUUUAUAAAUAUAAAAAUAAAAUAUGGUUCUUAUAUAUUUCCAAGUCUAUUUCAAUCAAAGUGUUAUUUUAAACAAAAGUUCAAAGGACUAGCAUUGAAAGACAAAAUAUGAAAAACAACCAUCGCUUCUAUUAUGCCUACUUUUAAUAGAAAAAAUGUAAAUGUUUAUGACUUAUUAGGCUCCAAGCCAAUAAUUCAUUAGUCAAGAUCUCAUUUCGAUACAUCAUUUAAGUGUAAUCUCUUACUAAAUAAUUUGUGAGGGUCAUUUAAUUCAACUUUUGUUGAAGCAAGAUAGAAGCCGAUAUUGAAUAUGCUAUGAGACAUAAGGGAUAAGAACAACGAAUGCAAGGAGGACUUGUAAGAAUAAGUGGGAGAUGUUGUUGUGCCCUAAUAUUUAUAAGAUUUUGGAGAAUGAUAAGAUUAAGGCAAAUAGUUGAAUACCUAUUUGGGUUUGUGAUUUAAAGUUUGAAAUCAAUUGCAUAUGUAGUGAUAGAUAUGUUAUUGAUAUUGUCAAUCAAACAUGCAAAUGCAUAAAUGAGACUUAACCGGUAUCCCUUGUUCAUAUGCAAUUUUAACUAUAUUUGUAGAAGAGAAAUAAUAAGUUUUAAGUUAUCUUUAAAAAUUACUAGACUCGUUAAUGAAUCAAACACAUUAACUCUUACUUAAUGUUUAUUUGUUUACUUAAAAAAAUUGUAAAAGUAUGAUAUAUAUAUAUAUAAAAUAAAUUAACCUAGCCAUUUAAAAUAAAUUUUGAUUUAAGACUUUUUCGUGUUUUUGAGUUUUAUGACUUUUUAGUUUAAUUAAAUCAAUUUUUGAGUUUAAAUAUUUUUUAAAAAAUAAUAAAUUUAUUUGUUUAAUAAAAAAUAUUAAAGAAGUUAAAGGAAAUUCAGAAAAGCAAAUCAUAUUUGAAAAUUUUCAAUACUUGUACAGUGCGGAGAGAAAGUGAGAGAACAGUAUAUUCUGUUCAAUUUUAUGAAAAAUAAAACACCAGUCCAACACCUAAACCUCCAUUAGAAACUCCUUAUCCUUCUCCAACCUUUCCAUUGUACCAGCCUCCAACGUUAUCUCAACGUCAAUGCUUCCUCCCCCGGUCUUCCCCUGAUACAAAUACACCAUUCCGUCAAAUUUGUUGUUCGAUCCACUUCUCACCCUCUCCGGCUUCCCAAACCCAAAGUCCACGUCGUACACCUUGAACCUCGGCGAGCUUCCCACCGUAACGCAGUUCACUCCGGCGUCUUUGAACUGGAAUAUUAUUGGGUUGCUCUCCCACUUAUCGUUGCGUUCGUUGAUGGCUUUCGCGUCGUUCGUUACGAUCGCUUUUUGAAUCAUUGCCGCCGCGAACUCCGGCGGGUUUGCGUAGAGGAGUCCGGCUGCGGUGACGGUGAAGAUGGCUUGAAUCAGGUUGCCGAAGUAGGACUCCGGCAUGGGAGGGUCGACCCUCUUGCGGCAGUUGGCGAAGACGGUGUAGACGGUGACGUCCUCGGGUUUGAGUUGGCGAGCGCGUGUCACCGCGAGCCACACGUGCGUGGAGAGCGAUUGGAAGGAGGAGAAGGGUCUGGAGCCGUCAGAUGGGGUUUUGUUGAG
RNAcentral lists this long non-coding RNA (30663 nucleotides) under Vitis vinifera (wine grape). Its description in RNAcentral is "long non-coding RNA (VVIN_LNC005514)". Lineage: Eukaryota; Viridiplantae; Streptophyta; Magnoliopsida; Vitales; Vitaceae. The record is from RNAcentral.